CAUGACGGUACCGUAAGAAUAAGCACCGGCUAACUACGUGCCAGCAGCCGCGGUAAUACGUAGGGUGCAAGCGUUAAUCGGAAUUACUGGGCGUAAAGCGUGCGCAGGCGGUUUUGUAAGUCUGAUGUGAAAUCCCCGGGCUCAACCUGGGAAUUGCAUUGGAGACUGCAAGGCUAGAAUCUGGCAGAGGGGGGUAGAAUUCCACGUGUAGCAGUGAAAUGCGUAGAGAUGUGGAGGAACACCGAUGGCGAAGGCAGCCCCCUGG
Molecule: ribosomal RNA, 265 nt
Filed under: Prymnesium parvum
Lineage: Eukaryota; Haptophyta; Prymnesiales; Prymnesiaceae
Description: partial Bacterial small subunit ribosomal RNA
Rfam family: Bacterial small subunit ribosomal RNA
Source: RNAcentral